AGCCCAGCCCCCUGCUGGGGCAAAAGGCUGGUGUGGGCAGGGUGCCAGCAGGUGUUCCUUGGCCAGUUAAGGGCAGGCACAGCCAGGUGUGUAAGGAUCUGGUAUUGUCUCUGGAGAACUGCAGCUUUUUUCAGACACCAAAUCCUGCUCAGCUGCCUGAGGACACAGGUUUCUCUCAGCUUGUUCCAUGAACUGGCCUGUGCCUUGUCAGCUCCUGCAUGACCUUCUCCAAAUCGUGACCUGUAUCUGCAGCAGCUGCUGUCAGCUGUGCAUUGGAUACCCUGUGCUGAGAUGCUGGCUGCUUUGUAGAGGGCGCUGCCAAAACUUCCGUGAGAGCUGGAGUUUCCAUGACCCUCAGUGCUCUGUCGUUGGCACAGGAGCAAGAACUGCCUGUGACAAGCAGAGAUCACUUCGUGCCUUAGUGCUGUACCCCGGGGCUCGGCUGUGCUGCCAGCUGUGGGGACCAGCCCCGCCUCGCCAUCGCCAGGUGCUCUGGGCGGGCCUGGCCAGCAGAACUGUGCUUAGCUGCGGGAAUUCCCAGCAAACUCCAGUGUCCAAGCUACAGGGACUGGGAACUUGGGCCCGUUAAACUUGCAGAUACACCUUUCACUAGCCAGCUCUGCGGGAGAUACCUCUGUUCGUGAGGUAAUCCGGGCUGCACUCCGGGAAGAAUGCUAAAUACGUCUGAGGCCGCUUUGCCAUCGCCAUGCCCGUGCAGUGCGGUUUAGUUUAGCGCUGCCGCCGUGUCCCCGGUGCCGGCGGCCACGAGGUGUCAGCGUUACCGCGCCGAGCGGAGAGAGCCCGCGACGAACCGGGCUGAGGAUGCCUUAUCCCGGGGUACCUGCAGAUGCUGGCACGAAAUACUGCCCUGGAGAGCCCAGCCUCUCUCUCCUGUGUUGCUGUCCCAUGCUCGGUUUUGCCUGUCGAAAUCCAGUCUGGUGUUUGGACUCAACGCUCUGCCUGUUCUCUCAGUACAGACAAUACUUUGCUCCCUAAACUUUUCUACGUUUAUCAGAAUAUUAAGCACGUGCUUAAGACUCCUGGUUUUCUGAUGGGAACCUUUAGCCAAAACAAACCAUUUGCAUGGGCUAGGGAAACCACACCAUAGCUUGAGUCUUCUGGCUUGGUUUUGGGAAAAAUGCACCUUCAGGUGUCUGUGCAAAAUGUAGUAACAGCAACAUUUAGAAAACCCCUGCUCAAAUGCAUUCCUAUCUGUCGGACAGUUCUAGGGUCCAGCAGAAGAGCUCCCCUCCAGUCUAGUUCCCUGCCUGAGAACAUGAUAAAACCAGCACUUAGUAACCUGCAAGCACAAAGAAAGGUAAGAGGGGAUUUCUCUGCUCUGGGAAUUAUCUCCACGUUUGGAGCGUUUGCUUGGGAACAGUGUAGAAAGUCUCGCUAUUAUGUAUCUGAUCUGUUCUAAAAUGAGCCUUUCCCAGCAGUCCCCUGCUGUUCUGUAGGCAACGCUUGAACAUUCAGUGACACGGACUCAAUUGCCUUGGGAGAUGCUUCCAUCCUCCCCCUGAAGAACGUUCAGUGUCUCCUGAGUAUUUCCAACCCUUCAGUUUGUACAGCACUCCCCUCAUCUCUCUGUGGAGGUUUCAUGCUCAGGUCCCAGUUCCUGGACAUGCCUUUAUUAGAGAGCUUAAGCACCUUAAGCAAGGUUGUGGAUUCUAUUUAAGUGAAGAUAUCCAAGGUUUCUUUGUCAACUGUUGCCUGAACCACUUUAGGUUGUUGAGGCACAGCAGAGCAUCUGGCAAUUUAGGAUCCUAACUACAAUCAUUCAGGCUUUUCCCCUGGCUCUUCCAGCUACCUAACAAGGCUCAGGUUCUUCCUAAGCCUCACCUGGAUCUGUGCAGUUAAUAAAUAAGACCAUAUUCCUGUUGUGUCAUUACAAUGGGGUUUUUUAUAGCUGUAGCCUUUUAACUGAAGGCAGGGAGGAAGACUUCUUCCUCAAUUUUUCACCUUCCUUAUAUUGUUGUAAGGCAAGGUUCAGAGAUCUUGUAUAGUAUUUUUUAUGUUCACAUUUUAAAAUUUCUUAGCGAGGUCUUUACAGUGGGACUGCAUUCCCUCUCUUAUAUAAAACCUCUAACUACACUGGGAAAGAGUUCCUAUUGGUAUAGAUGUAGAGUUUUCUUGUAUUUUUUUCUUUUUAAUGUAAAUGAGUGCAAACAUGCUUUUAGAGGGAAGGGGAGUUCACAGGUGUUCUGUGACUAGAUCACAGUACAGUCAGGCUUCCAAACUUUCAGUAAUGUAACAGCCACCUUCAUAAUGCACUACUGAUUAUAGAAUAACAUCAAGGCUAAUACCGCAGUCAACAACUAUUUGCAAUUACACAGGUGUAAGAGAGGAGAAUCCUGAGUGUGGGAUGUCAUUGCAUGUGUCUAUGUUUUUUAUAAAAGUACAGUCCCAUGGUGCAGUGAUAAGAGCUACUGGCUGGGGAAGAAAAGUUUGGAGGUAGCUGGAUUAAUGAGCUGAUCUCCCAGCAGCAGCUCACCAGAGCUGGGCUACAUCCAUCCUUGGCUCUGGCCUGUGCUGUGGCUGUGUGCCUGUUUCAGCUAUGCCAUGCCUGGCUUUUUAAUGAGAAAAGCUUUGCUACUGCUUUCCUCAAAUAAGGUACAUGAUUUGUGUAAAUAGAAAUCAUACUGAAUAAAUGGAGAUUAUUUCUGUUUCUUUUAUUUCUUGCUAAAAUAAAAUCUCUACUAACCAGAGCUCUCCAGUGGCCUACAGUACUACUGGGGAUUCCUACUUGUAAAUAACUGGGAAAACAAACAAUACAAAAAUAAACCAGAAGAUCUGCUUCCCGAUGACAGAUGACUCUUACUAAGAUACCCCGGAGUGCCUCUUACCCUGGAUACGUCUACAGGACACAAGAAGAAAGCACUCAUAUUUUCAGUGACCUCUAAGAAGCUCUAAUAUUUUGGGAAAGGUCUUGUUGAAACAAUGAUUGAUAUUAGAGAUUAUGUAUGUUUGAUUUGCCCUAGGAGCAGGAAAUCCUUUUUAAAGCCCAGUUCCUAGAGGAUAUCUGGCUUAAAGUGCAUGAAUAGCUGCUUCUGGUAUGCAAAGAAUUACCUGUAUGUAUAUAAAGUAUGACUUGGUACCAUGUUGAAUCAGGAUCUUACUUUGCUAGAAACAAUUUUAGCCAGGAGCAUUUGCCUUCAUCUCCAGGCAUACUUACGUGAAUA
Molecule: long non-coding RNA, 3182 nt
Organism: Hirundo rustica (Barn swallow)
Lineage: Eukaryota; Metazoa; Chordata; Aves; Passeriformes; Hirundinidae
Exons: 4
Source: RefSeq, a predicted model, not a curated record